GCAUCCUGCCCCCGUGACCGUCUUCUCACCGUUCACCCGGCAGGCGGAAAGACGGAAGCCCCCGCGAGGACUCGACUCGCGGGGGCUUCCG
This 91-nucleotide non-coding RNA is filed under the name Streptomyces sp. AVP053U2. RNAcentral's name for it is "sodF sRNA". It matches the Rfam family "sodF sRNA". Rfam says of the family: Identified in Streptomyces coelicolor. It is produced from sodF mRNA by cleavage of about 90 nucleotides from its 3'UTR. The record is from Rfam by way of RNAcentral. Lineage: Bacteria; Bacillati; Actinomycetota; Actinomycetes; Kitasatosporales; Streptomycetaceae.